CUUGCACCUUUCAAGUGAGUGGCGAACGGGUGAGUAACACGUGGACAACCUGCCUCAAGGCUGGGGAUAACAUUUGGAAACAGAUGCUAAUACCGAAUAAAACUUAGUGUCGCAUGACAAAAAGUUAAAAGGCGCUUCGGCGUCACCUAGAGAUGGAUCCGCGGUGCAUUAGUUAGUUGGUGGGGUAAAGGCCUACCAAGACAAUGAUGCAUAGCCGAGUUGAGAGACUGAUCGGCCACAUUGGGACUGAGACACGGCCCAAACUCCUACGGGAGGCUGCAGUAGGGAAUCUUCCACAAUGGGCGAAAGCCUGAUGGAGCAACGCCGCGUGUGUGAUGAAGGCUUUCGGGUCGUAAAGCACUGUUGUAUGGGAAGAACAGCUAGAAUAGGAAAUGAUUUUAGUUUGACGGUACCAUACCAGAAAGGGACGGCUAAAUACGUGCCAGCAGCCGCGGUAAUACGUAUGUCCCGAGCGUUAUCCGGAUUUAUUGGGCGUAAAGCGAGCGCAGACGGUUUAUUAAGUCUGAUGUGAAAGCCCGGAGCUCAACUCCGGAAUGGCAUUGGAAACUGGUUAACUUGAGUGCAGUAGAGGUAAGUGGAACUCCAUGUGUAGCGGUGGAAUGCGUAGAUAUAUGGAAGAACACCAGUGGCGAAGGCGGCUUACUGGACUGCAACUGACGUUGAGGCUCGAAAGUGUGGGUAGCAAACAGGAUUAGAUACCCUGGUAGUCCACACCGUAAACGAUGAACACUAGGUGUUAGGAGGUUUCCGCCUCUUAGUGCCGAAGCUAACGCAUUAAGUGUUCCGCCUGGGGAGUACGACCGCAAGGUUGAAACUCAAAGGAAUUGA
Molecule: ribosomal RNA, 849 nt
Filed under: Leuconostoc mesenteroides
Lineage: Bacteria; Bacillati; Bacillota; Bacilli; Lactobacillales; Lactobacillaceae
Description: bacterial SSU rRNA
Rfam family: Bacterial small subunit ribosomal RNA
Source: RNAcentral